RNAcentral lists this transfer RNA (74 nucleotides) under Candidatus Gottesmanbacteria bacterium RIFCSPHIGHO2_01_FULL_39_10. RNAcentral's name for it is "tRNA-Trp". It matches the Rfam family "tRNA". Rfam says of the family: Transfer RNA (tRNA) molecules are approximately 80 nucleotides in length. Their secondary structure includes four short double-helical elements and three loops (D, anti-codon, and T loops). Lineage: Bacteria; Candidatus Gottesmaniibacteriota. The record is from RNAcentral.
AGGGACGUGGUGAAAUGGCAUCACAGCACUCUCCAAAAGUGCUUUUCCCCGUUCAAAUCGGGGCGUCCCUGCCA